Molecule: long non-coding RNA, 659 nt
Filed under: Elaeis guineensis (African oil palm)
Lineage: Eukaryota; Viridiplantae; Streptophyta; Magnoliopsida; Arecales; Arecaceae
Description: long non-coding RNA (EGUI_LNC049138)
Source: RNAcentral
AUCAGGGGUUGAGCUUAGUCAAUUCUUGAUUUGAUUAGAAUUUUAUUGAAUCUAAAUAAACCUAAUUAAAUUGGGUUUAACUUAGUCUAAUUGUGCUUAACCUAUUUUGAUUAGGUUGGUUCAAUUAUGAUCAAACCACCUUUUGAAUUCAAACUCCCUGCGCCACCUCACUUCUCUACACCCAUUUGAAUUCACGAGAAGCAACUUCUCAUGAAUUUUCUCUCACGCAGAAGGCAUCCCACGCCCACCCUUGUGCGCUAAUUAUCUGGAUAAAAAUAAGUUAGUUGGCCAUUCAAAUUCAAAGGAUGUUUGAAUUUUAAUGGGCAACCAACUAAUCCAUGUGCCACCCACCUUAUCUUGUGCACCCCUUGCUUUACACGAGAAAGAGUUUCUUGUAUAAACUCUCCAUGCACAAAGAAUCCAUGCCUCCUCUCUUCUCAUGCCCAGAGUGGAUAAGGAUGAGUUGGUUUGCAUUUGAAUUCAAAUUUGAUUUGAAUUCAAGUGUGCAACCACUUAUCUUUAUCCUUUCACGCGGAUAAGACACGUCUUGCACUGUUUUAAAAGAGAAAGGGAGGUGGGGCGUGCGUAGAAAAUUUUCUGAGAGAGAAUAGUGGGUGUGAGGAAGCCUUGUGCAUGAGUAGGAAGUUCAAAAACUUUCG